UUAGAAAAACUAGGUUAGUGGUGCACUGGUCAUGACGGAGGGAGAAAGUAGGUCACAGACAGAGUAACGUUACCGUUUUAUAUCACAGUUCACGUAACAUUAGACAGAGGGGUCCAUUAGAUGGAGAUGUCCUAGCUAGUUCAUGUCAUGUAGAGCACCUAUCCCAGUGUCCCAGAGGAGGAAUAGCAGCCAGGCCAACCAACGAGGAGGUGUUUCUCUCUCUUCAUCGCAAACCAAGAGCAGAGCAAAUGGAUGGAAGGAAAUUCCAGAAGCUGUAAUGAACAUUUGUGAUUAUCUAAUGGCAGACCAAAGAAUGGACAUUACCUCUACGAUGAAUGAGUUCAUGUCCCCCAGCUCCACCGAGCUGAUCAGCAGCUCCAUCAACACCCAAGGCAUGGACUACACCCGCAAGAGGAAGGGCAGCACCUCCGACUACCAAAUUGAUGGAUUUUCUUUUGACGAGAGCAGUAUGGAUACAGACAAGGAUAAGCUUAGGGAUUGUGGUGAUCAUCAGGGGCGGAUCAAAAAUGCCAGGGAGGCACACAGUCAGAUUGAGAAGAGGCGCAGAGACAAGAUGAACAGCUUUAUAGACGAGCUGGCGGCGUUAGUGCCUACUUGCAAUGCUAUGUCCCGCAAGCUGGACAAACUCACAGUUCUACGCAUGGCUGUUCAGCAUAUGAAGACAUUACGAGGCGCAGCGAACCCAUACACAGAGGCGAACUACAAGCCGUCUUUCCUGUCCGAUGAUGAAUUGAAGCACUUAAUAUUGAGGGCUGCUGAUGGCUUUCUGUUUGUUGUCGGAUGCGAUCGUGGGAAGAUCCUCUUCGUCUCUGAGUCUGUUUACAAGAUCCUCAACUAUAGCCAGAACGACCUAAUUGGCCAGAGUCUGUUUGAUUACCUGCAUCCUAAAGACAUCGCCAAAGUCAAGGAGCAACUGUCGUCAUCGGAUACAGCACCCCGGGAGCGACUCAUCGACGCCAAAACUGGCCUGCCAGUGAAGACUGACAUUACCCUUGGGCCGUCUAGACUGUGCUCCGGAGCCAGACGUUCGUUCUUCUGCCGGAUGAAAUGUAACCGGCCCUACGUCAAAACGGAGGACAAGGACUUCCCCUCCACCUGCUCAAAAAAGAAAGCCGACCGCAAGAGCUUCUGCACGAUCCACAGUACUGGCUACCUGAAGAGCUGGCCGCCCACCAAGAUGGGUUUGGACGAUGACAACGAGCCCGACAACGAGGGCUGUAACCUCAGCUGCCUGGUAGCCAUUGGCCGGCUGCACCCCCACAUCAUCCCCCCAGCCCUCCCAUGAGGACAUACGCGUCAAACCCACCGAAUACGUCUCCCGCCACGCCAUCGACGGGAAGUUCGUCUUUGUUGACCAGAGGGCCACAGCCAUUCUUGCGUACUUACCCCAGGAGCUUCUAGGCACCUCCUUCUAUGAGUAUUUUCAUCAGGAUGAUAUUGGCCACCUGGCAGAAUGUCACAGACAAGUGCUGCAAAUGAGAGAAAAGAUCAACACAAACUGUUACAAGUUCAAGAUUAAAGAUGGCUCCUUCAUCAUGCUGAGAAGCUGCUGGUUUAGUUUCAUGAAUCCCUGGACCAAAGAGGUGGAGUACAUUGUCUCCACAAACACAGUGGUCUCAUGCAGUAUGCUAGAUGCUGCAGACCCCUAUCCUCAGUCUGCUGCUUCCCCCACAGCCUCUAUGGACAGUGUGCUGACGUCAGAAGGUGGAGGGAGACGGGCUAUUCAGACGGUGCCAGGCAUCCCUGGCGGAACACGGGCAGGUGCCGGCAAGAUCGGCCGUAUGAUCGCAGAGGAGGUGAUGGAGAUUCAGAGGACCAGAGGCUCAACACCCUCUAGCUGUGGCUCCAGCCCCCUGAACAUCAGCACCCCCCCUCCAGACUGCUCUCCAGGGAGCAAGAGGAUUCAAAAUGGUGGGACACCAGACCUUCCGUCGGCAGGAACGCUACCAGGAGGACCUGACUCCAUUGGAUACCCAUACUCCAACCAGUCCAUUAUGAGUGACAACUCUCAUCUCAGCAUUGACAUCAUGGACGAGCCAGGCUCCAGCAGCCCCAGUAACGAUGAGGCAGCCAUGGCUGUGAUCAUGAGUCUCCUGGAGGCUGACGCAGGCCUUGGGGGCCCCGUGGACUUUAGUGACUUACCCUGGCCCUUAUGAUGACGGCCCAAGAGGAACGAGGCAUAGCAGGACUGUUGGAACUCUUGGGCUAAGUCCCACAGAACUAUGUCAAAACCCUGAAUUGAUGAUGCAGUGGCAUCAUCAGGAACCAUGGCACUGUGCGACUUAUUGGAGCCGAGACCUCCAUGUUGGGACUGAGACAGGUCAUUUCAAAGUAUACCUGUAUGUGCCCUCCCUAGCUUGCUGCUGGACAUUCUUCACCACAGGAUAAUUUAGCAUUUUUCAAUAGCUAUUUUCCUGCAUUCUCCUACCAGGGAUUUCUAUUGAAACCUGUUUGUGUUUGGAUGUUUUUACACUACAGUACACAUUGGUUUUCCUUACUGGAAAACCCCAUUUGAAAAUGUUAACACAUCUUUAAAUAGUAUAAUGUAAAAAAUACUUUAUGCAAAAUAUAUGGUGUGUGUAUUGUAUCAGCAGUUAAAUAUUUUUUAUUAAAAGUUUGUUUUGUAUCUCUUUCCAGAAGACUUUGAGCUAUAAACAGAAUUUGAUGCAGUAUGUUAUUGACGCUAAUGAAUAAAUUGUAUCCAUAUUUA
Molecule: RNA transcript, 2731 nt
Organism: Oncorhynchus gorbuscha (pink salmon)
Lineage: Eukaryota; Metazoa; Chordata; Actinopteri; Salmoniformes; Salmonidae
Gene name: aryl hydrocarbon receptor nuclear translocator-like protein 1
Exons: 20
Source: RefSeq, a predicted model, not a curated record